GCUCAGUAACACGUGGAUAACAUGCCCUAGAGUGGAGGAUAAUCUCGGGAAAUUGAGGAUAAUACUCCAUAGACCAUGGAAUUUGGAACAAUCCAUGAUUGAAAGUUCCGGCGCUCUAGGAUUGGUCUGCGGCCUAUCAGGUAGUAGUGGGUGUAACGAACCCACUAGCCGAUAACGGGUAUGGGCCUUGAGAGAGGGAGCCCAGAGAUGGAAUCUGAGACACGAUUCCAGGCCCUACGGGGCGCAGCAGUCGCGAAAACUUCACAAUGGAGGCAACUCCGAUGAGGGAAUUCCAAGUGCUAGCACAUUAGUGUUAGCUUUUCUUAAGUAUAGAUAGCUUAGGGAAUAAGGGCUGGGUAAGACGGGUGCCAGCCGCCGCGGUAAUACCCGCAGCCCGAGUGGUGGUCGAUUUUAUUGAGUCUAAAACGUUCGUAGCCGGUUCAUUAAAUCUUUGGGUAAAUCGGGUGGCUUAACUAUCCGAAUUCCGAGGAGACUGGUGAACUUGGGACCGGGAGAGGCAAGAGGUACUUUUGGGGUAGGGGUAAAAUCCUGUAAUCCUGAAAGGACCACCGGUGGCGAAGGCGUCUUGCUAGAACGGAUCCGACGGUGAGGGACGAAGCCCUGGGUCGCAAACGGGAUUAGAUACCCCGGUAGUCCAGGGUGUAAACGCUGCAACUUGGUGUUGGAGACCCUUCGGGGGUGUUCAGUGCCGGAGAGAAGUUGUUAAGUCUGCUACUUGGGGAGUACGUCCGCAAGAUGAAACUUAAAGGAAUUGGCGG
Molecule: ribosomal RNA, 779 nt
Filed under: uncultured archaeon
Lineage: Archaea
Description: bacterial SSU rRNA
Rfam family: Archaeal small subunit ribosomal RNA
Source: RNAcentral